GGGCUGGGCCGCGCCAGGGUCGGAUUUCCUCAGCGCCGUCUCUGAGUCCUAGCGAGGCUUCACCUACUGGGAUGUGUCGAACAGCAGAAGAAUCUGUGGAAACUGAUGUCUGAAUCCAGCCCUCUCUUCCUACAGCCUAAAUAUCAACUGCUGUUGUUUAUCCUGCUCCCUUGAUCUGGAAAAACAAGUUGUCAUGUUAUGAACAGAUCUGUGGAGAAGCCUGUGUGGUGAGGAACUGUGUCUCCAGCUAGCAAGUAAUGAGAACUGGACCCGACAGAACACACCACUGUGAGAUUUGCAGCCUAGACUUUACUAGUCAAGCCUUGAAAGAACUGUGGCUCUGUGACAGUUAAUUUCAUGUGUCAACUUGACUGGGCCAUGUCAUUGCC
Non-coding RNA from Microcebus murinus (gray mouse lemur), 389 nucleotides. The record is from RefSeq and is a predicted model, not a curated record. NCBI's taxonomy places the organism in Eukaryota, Metazoa, Chordata, Mammalia, Primates, Cheirogaleidae.